GCGGUCGUGGCGGAAUGGUAGACGCGCAACGUUGAGGUCGUUGUCCACGCAAGUGGGUGGAGGUUCAAGUCCUCUCGACCGCACCA
This 86-nucleotide transfer RNA is filed under the name Rickettsiales bacterium. RNAcentral's name for it is "tRNA-Leu". It matches the Rfam family "tRNA". From Rfam's summary of the family: Transfer RNA (tRNA) molecules are approximately 80 nucleotides in length. The record is from RNAcentral. Lineage: Bacteria; Pseudomonadati; Pseudomonadota; Alphaproteobacteria; Rickettsiales.